RNAcentral lists this ribosomal RNA (636 nucleotides) under uncultured archaeon. Its description in RNAcentral is "bacterial SSU rRNA". It matches the Rfam family "Archaeal small subunit ribosomal RNA", at positions 1 to 620 of the family's 1478-position model. The record is from RNAcentral.
UUCCGGUUGAUCCCGCCGGACCCCACUGCUAUCGGGAUAGGACUAAGACAUGCUAGUCGUGUGCCUCAGCCAAAACGAGGCACGGCGCACAGCUCAGUAACACGUGGCUAACCUGCCCUUAGGACGAGAAUAACCCCGGGAAACUGGGGCUAAUGCUCGAUAGGUGAAGAACUCUGGAAUGAGUCUUCACUUAAAAGAGUCUGCGUUAUGCUCGUAGAUUUCGCUUAAGGAUGGGGCCGCGACCGAUCAGGUUGUUGGUGAGGUAAUGGCUCACCAAGCCUUUUACCGGUGCGGGCCGUGAGAGCGGGAGCCCGGAGAUGGGCACUGAGACAAGGGCCCAGGCCCUACGGGGCGCAGCAGUCGCGAAAACUUUGCAAUACACGAAAGUGUGACAGGGCUAUCCCGAGUGCCAUCCGCUGAGGAAGGCUUUUACCCAGUCUAGAACGCUGGGGGAAUAAGGAGAGGGCAAGUCUGGUGUCAGCCGCCGCGGUAAUACCAGCUCUCCGAGUGGUGUGGAUGUUUAUUGGGCCUAAAGCAUCCGUAGCUGGCUAAGUUAGUCCCUGUUAAUCCAACGAAUUAAUCGUUGGAUCGCGGGGGAUACUGCUUGGCUAGGGGACAGAGAGGCAGACGGUAUUU